RNAcentral lists this ribosomal RNA (380 nucleotides) under uncultured soil bacterium. Its description in RNAcentral is "bacterial SSU rRNA". It matches the Rfam family "Bacterial small subunit ribosomal RNA", at positions 26 to 382 of the family's 1533-position model. The record is from RNAcentral.
AGAGUGAACGCUGGCGGCAGGCCUAACACAUGCAAGUCGAACGGCAGCACAGAGGAGCUUGCUCCUUGGGUGGCGAGUGGCGGACGGGUGAGGAAUACAUCGGAAUCUGCCCAAUCGUGGGGGAUAACGUAGGGAAACUUACGCUAAUACCGCAUACGACCCCAUAUCGAAGGAUGCGGGGUGAAAGCGUGGGACCGCAAGGCCACGCGCGAUUGGAUGAGCCGAUGUCGGAUUAGCUUGUGGCGGGGUAAAGCCCACAAGGCGACGAUCCGUAGCUGGUCUGAGAGGAUGAACUCAGCCACGACUGGAACUGAAGACACGGUCCAGACUCCACGGGGAGCAGGCAGGUAGGGGAAUAGUUAGGAACAAGUGGGACGACC